GAUGAACGCUGGCGGCGUGCCUAAUACAUGCAAGUCGAGCGAACAGACGAGGAGCUUGCUCCUCUGACGUUAGCGGCGGACGGGUGAGUAACACGUGGAUAACCUACCUAUAAGACUGGGAUAACUUCGGGAAACCGGAGCUAAUACCGGAUAAUAUAUUGAACCGCAUGGUUCAAUAGUGAAAGACGGUUUUGCUGUCACUUAUAGAUGGAUCCGCGCCGCAUUAGGUAGUUGGUAAGGUAACGGCUUACCAAGGCAACGAUGCGUAGCCGACCUGAGAGGGUGAUCGGCCACACUGGAACUGAGACACGGUCCAGACUCCUACGGGAGGCAGCAGUAGGGAAUCUUCCGCAAUGGGCGAAAGCCUGACGGAGCAACGCCGCGUGAGUGAUGAAGGUCUUCGGAUCGUAAAACUCUGUUAUUAGGGAAGAACAAAUGUGUAAGUAACUAUGCACGUCUUGACGGUACCUAAUCAGAAAGCCACGGCUAACUACGUG
Molecule: ribosomal RNA, 497 nt
Filed under: uncultured bacterium
Lineage: Bacteria
Description: partial 16S ribosomal RNA
Rfam family: Bacterial small subunit ribosomal RNA
Source: RNAcentral